ACGCCAGGCCCGGAAAAUGCAAGAGAGUGGAUGGAAGCCGCGGUGGUUUGUAAAGGAUAAAGGAAGUGAUUCAUAUCGUUAUGUUGGCGGAUAUUGGGAAGCCAGGCAACAGGGAAAUUGGGAGUCAUGUCCUGAUAUAUUUGGCCAAGUCCCUCCUGAUCAGCUGCUUGAUUAAAGUUCAACAGCCAUCAAUUCUUUUCCAAUUUUUUUGGGGGCAUAUAGCGGAUAAGUGCUGGUGUGUGCAGUUAAGGUGCCCCAUGAAAUCCCCGCAAGUAAAUUAAGAUCCGAUAAUAAAAGAUAUAUUCUUUUCUUUUGUUUUUAAUCACCCUCUGCCGGGCCAUAUUCAUUUGGUGAUACUGGGCAUGCUUUUCAAUUAUCUUGAAUUGCAAGUCAAGCCGCAACUUCCUGAAAUCAUUUGGCGCAAUAUCAUGGGCAAUUUAAGAGACAAUAUGAAGUGGUAUAGCACCUAUUUCCUGUUAUUGUACAUGGUGGGGCAUUACAAAUGGUUGUUGCUUGCUCCAUGUUGGUCUGUUUCCCAAUUUUUGAAGGCUUAUGUAG
This 558-nucleotide unclassified non-coding RNA is filed under the name Hevea brasiliensis (rubber tree). The record is from RNAcentral. Lineage: Eukaryota; Viridiplantae; Streptophyta; Magnoliopsida; Malpighiales; Euphorbiaceae.